This is a long non-coding RNA of Zingiber officinale, 1330 nucleotides long. RefSeq lists it as uncharacterized. The record is from RefSeq and is a predicted model, not a curated record. The transcript is spliced from 8 exons. Lineage: Eukaryota; Viridiplantae; Streptophyta; Magnoliopsida; Zingiberales; Zingiberaceae.
UCCCUUCUCUGAUCUCGGUGAACAACGGCGACGGAUCUCGAUCGGUGGAUUUCGCCGGCUGUCGGGAGGGAACCAAGGGCAUCGGCGUUGGAUCAGGCCAGCAUCGAUUGUUUGGAGGAGGUAACAACCAUUGUUCCUUCCCGAUCUCUGUCCCUGUUCGUCGGCAAGAACAAGUCGUUGCCCUAACUUCGAUCUUGGAGAGACUGGUAUUUUGGUCCCGGCCACCACAGCUCUGUUGGAUCGAUCUCUUCUUCGUAUCAGUGAUCGUCUCCGGUGAUUGAAGGGUGCAGAGAGGAUGCGAUGUGCUUAUUUUAGAUACUGGAUUGGGAAGUGCAGAGAAUCAAGCAAGGGUCAAGGAGUUGCUUCAUGUGGAGGAAUCAAAACUAGAGGAGGAUGAGGGAAAUACCACUCCAGCAGUGAGAUGGGUUCGAGAUGAUAAAUAUGAUUGCAUCCGAUUAAAGCAUUGCAAGGUUGUGACAAAAAUUGAUUGGCAUCGGAAAGGAGACUAUUUCACUACUGUCGUUCCUAGUGAUAUCCUAAUUAUGAAUUUUAGUUGUACUUAUUUUUAGUCAUUCCUAGUGCCUAUUUUAUAUCUCAGUUUUGUUUCUUUCUUUUUUCUAAUACACACUGACAAAUUGGAAAUAUAUAAAAAUCAUGACAUUAUACCUAGUUACCUAGCCUUUGAGGCUGGAAUCAGGAUGAAACCUAAAGUGCCCUGAAAAGUUUAGGCAUACCAAAUUCUCUCAGUUUAAUGACAGAGGUGUUUUAGAUUGUAAAUUUCAUCCGAGGCAGCCAUGGCUAUUCACAGCUGGAGCAGAUUCUGUCAUUAAACUGUAUUGCCACUAAUGAUAGAUUCUCCAGGAAACUUUGAAGAAUCUCCUCGAGUCAAGAUACGUUGUGACAAAAAUUGAUUGGCAUCGGAAAGGAGACUAUUUCACUACUGUCGUUCCUAGUGAUAUCCUAAUUAUGAAUUUUAGUUGUACUUAUUUUUAGUCAUUCCUAGUGCCUAUUUUAUUCCUAGUCACCUUAUUUCAAUGACAAGAACAAGGGUUCUCAUGGCCAAUAUGUGUCUAUUAAUGGGAUUUUCAAUGUCUUGCUUACCACGCUAAUCCUACUUCUGAUUGGAUUUGCAGCUUCAAGAUAUCAAACUCUACACCUUCUAUAUGGAGCUAGAUUUGCAAAAGCCAUAUCCAACUCGAGGAAGUGACUUAUUGACAUGGGAGAGAACUUAUUGGUAACCAAGGACUUUAUGAAGAUAGCAAAUUUUGGCCUUGCUCGUGAAGUUCAUUCGAAGCCACCAUUCACAGAAUAGGUUUCAACACGCUGGUAA